UUUGCAACACAAAGAAACUUAAAGGGAUAGUUCACCGGUGGGAAUAUGAAGGUUUUAUGAAUUAAAUAAUUCAAUGUAUUAUAAAUGUGAAAAAUAAAUUGAAAUUGGUUCAUCCUAGCCUGAAAAAAGGCAGAAAGAGUGUUUUCAUGGUCUCUCUGGCUCAAAGUGAGAAAACCUCCAACUACCACAGUGCAUUGCGCUCGCUGCCCCGCCCACCUGUUUCCGUUUAAAAGGGGGAAGGACCCAUGCGAGCAAACAAACUUUAUUCACAAAGUUAUUCACGAACCGUCGUUGACUAGUUUUGACUCGUUUUUCCAAAAGCAAUCAUGCCCAGUGGUUGUUUGGUACCCGGUUGCACCGAAAAGUCGAGGUUGGGACAGAGUGUAAGUUUUCACGGUUUGCCAGUGAAAGACGCUCAGCGUUGCAAACUAUGGCUGCGGGCGAUAAACAACCCCAGAGUUGGAGAAGACACCGGGAAGGAAAUUAUAAAAGGAAAAACGAUAUGCAGUCUCCAUUUCAAACUGGAGGAUUUUGAUGGAAGACUUUUCGGCAAGAUAAGGUCCGCACUCAAACCAACUGCUGUUCCGUGCGUCUUCGCUGUGGGCCCGUGCCCAGAUGACGAACAGGCCGGGGCUUCUAAUGCACCUCCCGCAGCGAAACGCAGUCGCCUACAGGACAACCACGCUUCAACCAAGUGUUUUGCAGGAGAUCCAAGCAGUGGGUCGUGAAGCAGAUUUUUAUUCCACACACCACCCAGUUCAUUGACACACUUGUCACAAGUGUCAUAACCAGAAGACGAAACCCAACGAUUCUAUAUAAGGUUUCAACAUCCUCACUUGCCCUGCCCCAGCCUGCGCUGCCACCUAACAUUGCACCAGUGCCAAAACCACCAAAGGAGGCGGCAGUGGCUGAAUUAAAAAGGCGCUUCUGAGAGGGACAUCUGACCUAUUUUAUCUAUUUAAACGUAUCUUUUAUAAAACAUUUGUUUUCAAUCUUAUCUUUGUAAAUAUUGUAUCAUUUUCCUUUGUGAAUAAAAUCUUAUUGUUUUUACUACCUUA
This is a long non-coding RNA of Gadus morhua (Atlantic cod), 1058 nucleotides long. RefSeq lists it as uncharacterized. The record is from RefSeq and is a predicted model, not a curated record. NCBI's taxonomy places the organism in Eukaryota, Metazoa, Chordata, Actinopteri, Gadiformes, Gadidae. The transcript is spliced from 2 exons.